UACGUAGGGUGCGAGCGUUGUCCGGAAUUACUGGGCGUAAAGAGCUCGUAGGUGGUUUGUCGCGUUGUUCGUGAAAACUCACAGCUUAACUGUGGGCGUGCGGGCGAUACGGGCAGACUGGAGUACUGCAGGGGAGACUGGAAUUCCUGGUGGUAGCGGUGGAAUGCGCAGAGUAUCAAGGAGGAACACCGGUGGCGAAGG
RNAcentral lists this ribosomal RNA (201 nucleotides) under uncultured bacterium. RNAcentral's name for it is "partial 16S ribosomal RNA". It matches the Rfam family "Bacterial small subunit ribosomal RNA", at positions 524 to 721 of the family's 1533-position model. The record is from RNAcentral.